UCCUUCUCUUCCUUCUUUCUCUUCCAAUCCUUUUCAUCCUCCCUUUUUCUCUUCCUUCUUUCCCUUAUUCUCUCUUUAUUUAUCUUCUUCCUUCCUUCUUUCUCCUCCUUUCUCAUCCAAUUAUUUCCCCUUAUUCAAUUUUCUUCCAUUUCCUUCUUUCGUUGUUUAUAAGACGUAAUUGAAGCUGUAUGACCCGUAAAAGGGAAAGUUUGCCCCUGAAAAGCUUGUCACCCUUGGAAAUUAGGCUUAAAGGGUGUUUAAGACGCGUAUUAAAGGUCAUACUAUUUAAGGAGAAAAUUAAGAGGGAAAAGGUCACCGUGACGUCAUCGGGUCGGCAGCCAAUCAGCGCCCGGCUUUGGAUGACAACAAUGGCCUCGACCAAUCAGCGGCGAGGCUCUCUUGCGUCCAUCACUGUGUUCGGAUCCGUGGGUUUAUUACUUUAACUUUUCUCUGUUGGAGCUUGAGGUGUAAAGAGGAAUUGGAGUUUAUUAAUGUAGGCAGAUAAUACUGAUGAGUGUUUUGUUGUGCGUUGUGUGGUGUGUUGCGUGUGUGUUGUGCGUGGCGAGGCGGGUACAGCAGGCCGAGGUCAAGGCAGAGAAUGAGACAGGUUUUCUAGGUGUUCGAACGCCUCCGUUCUCGACUUUAUCUUAUUUCCAUUUGAGUGUGAGUUUAAAAGAGGAAACAGAGUUCAUGGGUGCGUGUAGAUAUUAAUGCGGAGUGUUUUGCGGUGUGUUGUAUAUAGUGUUGGCCCCGUGCCGCGCCUGGGGGGCGGGUCGGGGUGGCCGGGGCCGGGGCCGGGGCCGAGACAGGUGCCCCAGGCUGGCCAGCGACAUGGCUGACGGACGGAAGACGUUGUUUUGAACCCUCGCCCCCGCCAGCCCCCGCCGCGACCCGCGGGAAGAAUGUCCUGACCAGAGGGACCAUUAAGAAACGUGAUCCUCUCUGCUACCGGGUUAAUCAUCAGCGUCAAGUUGGUGCCCUUAACAUUUUAUUUAUAGUUUUUAAGAAUAUUCGGCAUCCCUUACACAAUGCUUUGCCUGAUCCUUUUACUCCUGCCCGGGUCACGAGGUUUGCUCCUUGUCAAAACGAUCUUGCUUCUAAUCCUAUGAAUUUUUGUACGACAAUUCUCACAAUGUUUUCUUCCAUCGUUGACAAGUUUAUUAUUUAUUUAUUUUUAUUUUUUUACGUCUAUGCCUAUAGUGCCAGUAGGCUUGCUUGAGGGGCCUGGAUGGUAUUCGGCCCCAGCCCAUCAUGGCGCAGGCAAGUGUUUAUAGUGGCGCCAUCUUCUCUUGGCUCAUGCUGCCCCCCGGAACUCAUUCUUGAUUAACUUGGACGGUUUCCUCUAGAGUCCGGGUUGAUGGGUGGUCUUCAGGACAGCAUGUGGGUAGUUUUAAGCCACUCGGCGGUGACUGAAAAAUCCCAGGUGGUAGCGUGGGGAUUCGAACCCGCGUCGUCCAUCCCGUGGUGAAUGUGGGCCCAGCACGCUACCACUCAGCCACCGUCUACCCUAAAUGGAAUGAGUUACCCAAUGAGACUGUCCUUUCUGCAGACAUUUCUACAUUUAAGUCUCGUGUGAAUGUCUUUUGAAACCAAUUUUAUUUUUCCUCCUUUUGGCUUUGAGUGGACAGUCUGGUUGCCUUUGCUUCUAUCAAGGACCUCUUGGUGUUUUGUGAGGUUAGUUAGUUUGAUAUAGAGAAGUUAGGUGAUUCAGUUAGUUAGUUUGAUAUAGAGAAGUUAGGUGAUCCAGUUAGAUAGUUUGAUAUAGAGAAGUUAGGUGAUUCAGUUAGAUAGUUUGAUAUAGAGAAGUUAGGUGAUCCAGUUAGAUAGUUUGAUAUAGAGAAGUUAGGUGAUUCAGUUAGAUAGUUUGAUAUAGAGAAGUUAGGUGAUCCAGUUAGAUAGUUUGAUAUAGAGAAGUUAGGUGAUCCAGUUAGAUAGUUUGAUAUAGAGAAGUUAGGUGAUUCAGUUAGAUAGUUUGAUAUAGAGAAGUUAGGUGAUUCAGUUAGUUAGUUUGAUAUAGAGAAGUUAGGUGAUCCAGUUAGAUAGUUUGAUAUAGAGAAGUUAGGUGAUUCAGUUAGAUAGUUUGAUAUAGAGAAGUUAGGUGAUCCAGUUAGAUAGUUUGAUAUAGAGAAGUUAGGUGAUCCAGUUAGAUAGUUUGAUAUAGAGAAGUUAGGCGAUUCAGUUAGAUAGUUUGAUAUAGAGAAGUUAGGUGAUUCAGUUAGAUAGUUUGAUAUAGAGAAGUUAGGUGAUUCAGUUAGAUAGUUUGAUAUAGAGAAGUUAGGUGAUUCAGUUAGAUAGUUUGAUAUAGAGAAGUUAGGUGAUUCAGUUAGAUAGUUUGAUAUAGAGAAGUUAGGUGAUUCAGUUAGAUAGUUUGAUAUAGAGAAGUUAGGUGAUUCAGUUAGAUAGUUUGAUAUAGAGAAGUUAGGUGAUUCAGUUAGAUAGUUUGAUAUAGAGAAGUUAGGUGAUCCAGUUAGAUAGUUUGAUAUAGAGAAGUUAGGUGAUUCAGUUAGAUAGUUUGAUAUAGAGAAGUUAGGUGAUUCAGUUAGAUAGUUUGAUAUAGAGAAGUUAGGUGAUUCAGUUAGAUAGUUUGAUAUAGAGAAGUUAGGUGAUUCAGUUAGAUAGUUUGAUAUAGAGAAGUUAGGUGAUUCAGUUAGAUAGUUUGAUAUAGAGAAGUUAGGUGAUCCAGUUACAUAUUCCUUUGUGUAUCGUGGUUGAGGGUCGGCAUUCACUUAUUCAUCCACUUAUUCACAUUAAGACAAGUUUGUAAGUAUUGCAAGUAAGUUUGUGCUGGGAAGUCAUUCAUUAUUUAUCGUAUUUAUUAUCAUUGUUACCUCUGCCCAUGAAGUUGCAGGAGGUUAUAUUUUUGCCCCGGUCAGUAAGGUUGUUUGUUUGUUUGUUUGUUUGUUAACAGUCUCCUGUGCACAAGUUUGCAUAUAUCUCGACCAAUUUUUCAGGGAAGCUUCGUGUCCAUCCAGUAUAAAACCCAUUGAAUUUUUGAUGUCAAAGGUCAAAGGUCGCACAAAACGUUUUUAUUUUUGGCCAUAACUUCGGUUCUCGUCAUCGUAGAGACUUCAGACUUGGUUCAUAUUUUAGCAAGCAUUGCCUUGACCUUAACCUUUGACCUUGACCUCGAAAAGUUUGCCCAAAGUCAAAUUUUGAAACAAAUGCUUUCAUAUGAUGCACAGGGUCACAGUUGAUGCCCAUACCAAUUUUCAGGACGAUCUUUGUCUUUGUUUUUUCUUCCUCUGUCUCCCUGGUGUGUGUUUCCUCUCCCUCCCUGUCUUUGUUUUUUCUCCCCCUGUCUCCCUGGUGUGUGUUUCCUCUCCCUCCCUGUCUUUGUUUUUUCUUCCCCUGUCUCCCUGGUGUGUGUUUCCUCUCCCUCCCUGUCUUUGUUUUUUCUUCCCCUGU
Molecule: long non-coding RNA, 3405 nt
Organism: Eriocheir sinensis (Chinese mitten crab)
Lineage: Eukaryota; Metazoa; Arthropoda; Malacostraca; Decapoda; Varunidae
Exons: 5
Source: RefSeq, a predicted model, not a curated record